Long non-coding RNA from Capra hircus (goat), 611 nucleotides. RefSeq lists it as uncharacterized. The record is from RefSeq and is a predicted model, not a curated record. The transcript has 4 exons. Lineage: Eukaryota; Metazoa; Chordata; Mammalia; Artiodactyla; Bovidae.
UCUUCCGGCAGCAUUUCCCCAGCGCUCCAACAAACUCUGCCACUCAGUGUAAACGGUCCUGCCAAACCCCACAGAAGCAGGCGAAUGGACAGGGUUUCUCACAGCAACACCUAAAAAGGUCUGGGUCUGCGAAAAAAAGAACUCAGAUUUGAAUUUUAAGUGAAUUUUCCCACCAACUCGGCGUACUUAAGGAAAAGAAAUCACAUCCCGAAAACACUAGCAAAGCUUGCUAAAGCUUCUUUCUGCGGACCAGGCGAGCUGAACAAACUGCACCGGGAAGAAAAACGACAGGAAAAGAUGCAAAGGUGGCCAACAGGGCUGUGUUCCCUCCCUAUUGUUUGACCUAAGACCAAACUAUGGUGGAGGUAAUGAAGAAAAUGGUGAUCUUCAAAAGGUGCCAUGCAGGCAUUUGCUGCACUCAGUGCCCCCAACCCUGCAGCAGAGCACUGCCGACCCAUGACUCUGCAGGAGACGCCUGGACACUCACAGGCAAGUCUGGUUUGCAUAUUGCCUCACCUUUCUGGGCCUGUUUGCUCAUCUGUUUCCAAAAGCUACUGUGAAGACUGAAUGAGGGGCUUCCCUCAUAGCUCGGUUGGUAAAGAAUCCGCUUG